UCUAUUUCUGAGAUUGCUCAACAAUAGAGAAGAACUGUUGUAAAGGAAGGAAUGGAAGAAAGGAGAAAAGGACAGAAGCAGGAAGGAGAAAGAGAAAGAAAAAAAUAAAGAAGAAAGUCAGGACUCAUUCUUCCUUUUGGAACAUGUAACAAUCUACAUAUUUGCGAAGAGAAAAGAGGAUUUGUUUCUUUCAUAAAGAGAGAAGACAAUGAGAACAGAAGGGCAGAAAGGAGAAAGAAUGAAAGCAGGGAGAAAAAGAAAGAAAGAAAAGCAGAGGCUCAGAAGGAAGGAGGAGAGAGGAGCACUGGCAUAAAGCUGAUACUUGCCAUAGAAGAACUUGGGUAUGUCUUUUCCCCCCUCCCCACCCUCUUUUUCUUAUUCUUC
This 384-nucleotide long non-coding RNA is filed under the name Dasypus novemcinctus (nine-banded armadillo). RNAcentral describes it as "lncRNA (ENSDNOG00000051700.1)". The record is from RNAcentral. Lineage: Eukaryota; Metazoa; Chordata; Mammalia; Cingulata; Dasypodidae.